GCGUGACACGAUGUAAACUUGACCCCGAUUCGCCCUCCCAACUUUUGUAGGAUUAACCUUGACCCCGUCUUCAUCCCUCCCCGGAUAUUUCCCAAUUAUAAGUAUCACUUACUCCACGGCUCACUUUUAUUUUUCCAUUCGAUGCCCUUCCAACAACGUUUGGUUUCCCUCUUGUGCUACAGAACAAAUACGCGAGAAGGGCCUGGCCCGCUGAGCCUUUCUGAAGGCUAGCGGUUGAAGCUGAGGAUGUCAAAAUGGAGAACGAACAGCCUUUCCUUAACUGCAUCGAACACCUUGGAAGGGGCACGUCGACGAGCCACCUGCAUCGGAAGGGUUGGUGUUGCCCCUGCGCACAACCUGCCCCUCCUCGGAUACGGAGUGGUGCUGACCAGCCAACGGUUGCCACCAUUCUGGACAGAUCUGCUGGGAAGGGGGAAGUACUUUUGGCACGUGGUAGCAGCGAGCACAAAGCAGACGGAUAGCGAGCAGAAGAGUCGCGUUGAGCGUUGGAUAGUCGACUUUUGUCACAGAUCUCGGUGUGUGUGUGUGUGUGUGUUGUGAACGGACAGGUGGAUGUUUGGGGCUGUUCGGCACCCCUCAAGCUCGACUGUGCAUCGAGUGCGGUGAGUAUUUAACUUCCUGUGUCGUAUUUCGGUAAGUAAAGUUCCAGACGAGUCCAUUGGAUGGAGGGUGGCUGUGGCGAGGAGGCGAAGCUCUUAAUAAUGUUUCUGUUUGUAAGUGGAGGUCUUACUGAGGAUUACCGAGCUUCCAGACCUACUUAUGUCCAUAAAUAAUUUAUCGGUGGGUUGCUGUUGGCGCUUUUGUUUAUCCGGAAUGAGGGAGGGCAACGUCGUUUAUCCGAACAGUGGCCAAGAAUGGAUGGGAGGUAACAGUCGAUAUCCAGCGACGACAGAUGGUAGCAAUUCGGAGUAGCUUCCUCCAAUGACACUGCCAAGUGCAACAGUGAGGGGAGAUAAUUUUUAAUCCCCAAGCGUCAGCGUGUUUCUCUCUUAUGUUUGGCUGCGGUUGGCCCUGUUCAUCGAUUGACUCUCGCUCGUUUCGGAGGUCGUCUGCCGAGGAGGACUCAUCUGCCAGCGAGUAAUUAAACUUGGGAGUGUUUUUCGUCAGUAACCGAUAGAGUCUGGCCAGAACAAUGGCUUCCCUUAUCUGCAGCCUUCCUGGCAGCGCAUCUUCCUGGUGGAGACGUGGCAGCUCCUUCCUUACUCGGCUGCUUCCACACAAUUAGAAAAGCAACUGAUUUAAUUGAGCAUGUCCGGAAAUGCAACGGACUGUGGGAAAUGAACCAGGAGAUACUCAACAAUGGACACGUUGCUCCCAGAUAGAUAAGUAUAGCCUGUCGAGAUAACAGGCUCAAGAAUAAAUAUAUUUAUUCCUCUGGGAAGAACAAAGUUGUCUGUUUAUGCCUUUUCACCCUCUUACACACGAUACGAACUCAAACUGGUUUUGUUCUCUGCCUGUUGUUUACAGGAAACCAGCUUUGGAUAUUAUCUACUUUGUCCAAAUUUCAGUGUGGAAUGUGGUUUGUCGAAACGAUAAUGCGUUUGAUUUUUGUUGACUUAAUCGUCCACCAUGGACUUGGAAUGGCCUCAGAUUAGAUAAUCUGUUUAUCUACUACGUAAUCCGAAAGAUAAUCUAUUUAAAUCCAAUACGCUGUUUUUCUAUGACAGUUGGACGCAUCUCCCCCCUCUGCCAUAUUCAUUGCGCCAUUAAGGGUAAGUCGGGGUGGACCAGGUAAGUGGCUUUGGUACCAGUCUCCCCCUUGGCCCAUUGUUUGGCCCUGCGCGCGCAACCUUUUCUCGCAGCUGGUCCAUUCUUCCACUAUCUCUCCAGGGAGCGAAAUUCAAUCGGCCGUGCCGGUUAAAGUUACCAGACUAUAAACUAUCGACGACAGCGUCGAGCCUAGUUUCCUGGCAGCCACAAGCGCGUUAUGACGUGUUGAUAGAGUCGGAAGUGACAUGUCCAGCGGACGUGCACGUCAUGUCCAACAUCCGUUUAGCGUGCGCGGGUCGAAUGCUGGAUUUGAGGAAUUAAUGCCCAACGACAAGACUGACACGCCACGCGUAUUCCUGAUAGAAGUAACCGAUUUUCAGAAAAACCAUUUGCAUAUAGAAGGUUUCUCUCUCUCUCUCUCUCUAACUGACCUUGGGAAAAUUGACUUUCUGCGUGACUCAAAAGUGGGCAGUUGGCACACGGACGAAGAGUAUUAAAGACUUCGUGCCGAAAUGAUCCUUUCUGUCGAUAAUGACGUCACAUUAAUCCAGUAGCAGCAGAAACUCACGCUCUUUUGUCCGCUGCUAGCAGAAUUUAACACUUUGUAUGAAGGCAGUUGUGCUUAGCCCUGAGCCCAAAUCAUCAAUCUCCCGCACCCACUAAUUCGUACUAGUUUAAUCGAUACUUCGUGUGUGUGCGAGAUGGUCAGAGGGCUGAGUUCUUACUGGUACAGCAUAUUGGUUUUGGUGCUACUACCCAUUGACAGGAAGUUUAAAUGCCAUUAGAUCAUACCCUAUGAAAGUUUAUUUUCAUUAAAUCAAAUUACGUAGUGUGAAUGUAGUUACACAUCACAAAAAUAAAAAAAAAAGAUAAAAUCCAGACUUUGUUGGAGAUGUAAAUAGUUUUGGAGCUACUGUAAGCCUCCCUACAGAUAUCAAUAAUUUAAAUCUCUUUCCACAAAUUGAUAUUUUUGGAUUUUAAGUAUUCUGCAAAGCGUAAAUAAUAAUAGAUGUUGAAAAUCCUUUGUAACUGGCCAAAACAUAGUGCCCGUUGAAAAUCAUCUGUGGUUGGUUAAACAGCCGAGCUGCGUGCUAAGUGCACAUUCAAACCAAUGUAAUUGGACCUUGAGGGCGCUUAAGCGAUAAAUCAAGCGGCGGAACAACCGAGACACAACAAAAGCCGCUUAACGGGCGAAAGAAAUGCGAUACUGCAGCCAAAUCAUGUCCCGCGCUACUACUCAUUAUUCGAAUGUCUUGGGCCCGAAGUGCUGGCUGGAAGGAGCACCCGCGGGGAUCUUUACUCGUCUAAAGCAACAAUUGAAAGAGUUCUGCAUUGUUACUUUAGCAGAUCAUCUAAGGAAGGCGAGCAGAAAUAAUUGGUGGCGUAUAAACAAGUCAUAAUUGUAUCGUUGACUCGCUCUUCCCUAGCGAGCGGCAGAAGAGGUCCAAUUAGCCGGAUGCUAAUGAAGGUGUUUCUGGCCUUUAUCAGAUCGGAACGAGUUUCUGGGGAAACAAAGCGCCCGAAUGUGCGCAAGAAGCUCGCCUAGUCAAUCCAUUGAUUGGGCGAGCAGAGAAGAGCGAAUUUAUGUAGUCGUUACGACAUGGAAAUCGCCUAUUAUGUCUUUGAGGAGGCCAACACUCCUGGAACUGUUGCCGCGAUCAAUACGCCUGACAACUCGCUAUCUGCUGUAGGCUAUGGCUGCUGGCGAGGAGCUGCCAGUCGGCAGAGAUGUUUGCCUCUAGGGAACCUGCUACUCUGCCUUCUUCACUUCCUCUCUUACCUGCCCACUCGCCCUCCGUUUUUGCUCUGGUCCGAGCGACUAGUAACUGACCCGGAAGGACUCAUUUUACCCGAAAAUAAAAAAAUAACAAAAAAUUACAAGUUAUCGGGCAGACCAGACACGACUAUCGGUUACAAUCUCGAUUCUGGUUAAAUCUUCUGCCAAAUUGAUUAGGCGAUUUCGGUAUUAAUUAAUCUAAAUAGAUGACUUAAUGUGGCCAGAAAGAUUUAAUUCCCUGCAUUGUAGCAAAAGAUACGGCGAUAAAGAGACAAUUAGAAAUGUGGCAAAGGACAAGGGCGACGGGAUUUCACGAUCGAUGCAACAUUACCAUUAGGGAGACACACCCGAUAUUGGCGACCUCGCAUCCAGUCCUCAUUUCGUUGUGCCACCUCUAGGGACAUUUGGUCAGUAUUUUCCCCAUGAUACCAAACGGAUGAUGGACAAAAUUGAUUCUUUCGACAUCCCAUACUAAUUAUGGUCAAAUAUCUUUAUUAUUUUUUUUCUGUAUUCGAGUUAUAAGGCUUUGUUUUAUAACCGUCUCUGAUAAAGAUAACUGCAACGCGUGAACGCGUCGUGAGCAAAAAGUUGUUUGACCUUGAGAGCUCUUCCUCCCAUAAUUAAGUGUAAGAAAGGAUAAAUAUUAGUCUCUUACCAUGUUAUUAUUUAGGUGUACAACAUACUUUCAGCUUUCCGAAAGACGAAAUGAGAUAAAAGCAUUUUUUUUUUUGUUUUUUUUUUUCAUUCUUACAGAUGUAUCCGAG
This 4272-nucleotide long non-coding RNA is filed under the name Androctonus crassicauda. Lineage: Eukaryota; Metazoa; Arthropoda; Arachnida; Scorpiones; Buthidae. The record is from RNAcentral.